Molecule: long non-coding RNA, 200 nt
Filed under: Elaeis guineensis (African oil palm)
Lineage: Eukaryota; Viridiplantae; Streptophyta; Magnoliopsida; Arecales; Arecaceae
Description: long non-coding RNA (EGUI_LNC030220)
Source: RNAcentral
UCCACUCCAUGAUUAUUUUCUACAUGUCUCUACUCUUGAUAUUUCUAGUGAUUGCUGUCAACAGUUUUUCUACUCCACACAAGCACGAUCAUUUUGUAACCACUGGACCAAUAGUCACGUCAUAUUGGCUUCCAACUCAUCUUGACAUUACUUCUUUCCUCAUUCAACCUACAAGGGUAUCCUUUAUUCUUGGGAAUCUG